Long non-coding RNA from Oryzias melastigma (Indian medaka), 581 nucleotides. RefSeq lists it as uncharacterized. Lineage: Eukaryota; Metazoa; Chordata; Actinopteri; Beloniformes; Adrianichthyidae. The record is from RefSeq and is a predicted model, not a curated record. The transcript has 2 exons.
AUCACUCUGUUCCUCAAAGAACAGUCGGGGUAGCUUGGACUUGCUAACAAGAGUGACUGGCGGUUAGCCUCGCGCGUUUCACUAACUAGCUAACAUUAUUAUUAUUAUUUUCUUUUUCAGUUAGCUAGUCCCUUCGACGGUUACGGUUCCAGAAGUACGAAUACAUUAAAUAUUUAUCAGAAAGCGAUUAACUUGGCGUUUCCUUGUUUAAUUCGUAUGUGUGGGCCGCGGUUAGCCCGGCUGCAACCAUGUGAGAGCUGCCGCUGCCAGGGUGGGGGGACCGUGUGGAGCCAGGCCCAACCUCAACACCAAUCUGCUCCUGAAGUUCAGCGAACCGCGUCCCAAAAGUCACGGCAGUGACAGCGAAUAAUGGUCUGGAAGGUAAUGAAGUUGAAGGCACGUUGGGGAGAGGGACGUUCUCCGGUCCUCCGAUCUUCAGAAGACUUGCGUCCAGGUCUUCCUGUUCCAGCUCAUCCAGCUCUGCCAACAGCUCGUCCUGAGAGAGAACGCGGUCAACACCAAACAACACAAACCACCACAAAGAAAUGGCUACAAAUACUUCCUAUAAAAGAUGCACCAUU